CAGGCUGAAAAAUUCUAUUGUGUGUGUGUACCACAUUUUCUUUAUCCAUUCAUCUCUUGAUGGACAUUUGGGUCGUUUCCAUAACUUGACUCUUCUUAACCUUGUUGCAGUGAACACGGGAGUGCAGAUAUCUUUUGAAGAUCCUGUUUUCAAUUCUUUUGGGUAUAUACUCGGUAGUAGGGUUGCAAAUUAAAAAUGGAGCUCUCACAGACCAUUAUUUUCUUGAUCCUUUGGUGCAUUUACUUUGGGUUGCCUAGGAACUCCUCCGUCUGUGGAUUUACCUUGUAGAGUCAGAGGGGAUGAUUGGGGAACCUGCAUGGCGAUGUGGGUUUUGAGCCUCUUUGGAAUUCAAACAAUACUGAUUUACCAGAACAAGAAAAUUUGGCUUUGGCCCCAAUACAGGCUGAGAAAGUUCAUCUUUUUAAAAGGGGCCAGUUCUUGAUUAGUUAGGGUACUGGAAUGGUCCAGGGAGGGAUAACUCAGGCCAUUUGCUUUGCCUCCUUCCCUUUCUUUCUGUCUGAUCUUUGGCCAGUUCAUGGCUUUCUAAUCCUGCCACUGGGGGAUGAAGGAAGAUUAAACUUGUGCCGUUGCCUUUGCAUGUUAUGAGCUCUCCAGAAAAAGUUUGCAUGGGAAUGGCCGAAGAUGUGGUAAGUUAAAGCAAAAUCAAUACACAGUUUACUAUCCAUGUCUUUCUGCUACCCUGCAAAUUUUCUUCCUCUCCAUGUAAUCUCUUUAUUGCAGCCUAGGAACUUUGUCAAGGGCUCCAUGACCAGGGUCUUUAGGAAACUCCAAAGACCUGAGAUUUCACCAGCAGAAAUGACAGCUGUUCCAAAAACAGAAAGGAGGUAAUUUCUUGUGUUUCAAAUUUCUCCAAAGGUGAGAGUUAAGACUCACUCUCAAGAUCUUUAUGUCACAUAGGUAAUGAGAGGAAGGGGUAGCAUUUUAACAGAUCACAUUCCCAAGGCCAAUCCAACGGGAGGGCUGGAAUUUGGGGAGGCUGCAGGGAGCAGGACUUUGGUGCCGCAAUCACUGGUUACCCUGUAAUAGUAUCUCAGGAGACUUUCCUGGUUACUGAGGACCAGAACUGUAGCUGAUUUUCAGCCCAAUACUUGGUGGGUUCUGUGGAGUCCAGCAUUCAAAGCCCUACCAUCGAGUGUGACUUCAGUGUCACAGGCAGAUGGUGUCACCAAGGCAUAAUGACUCCUGACCUGUGGCUCUGCUCUUCCUCCUUUCUCUUCCUCUCUCCCCUUCCCUGGGGGCCUGUGGUCCAGAGCUGCAUUCCUUUGUUAUCACACUUCCUUCCACAGACUGCACACGCCUGUUCAGGACACCAAGCUGUGUGAAAGCACUCCAGGCUGGUGGGAAUACCGCUCCCAGAAAGAAUCUGACUUGUUUCAGAAGCUUAUCUUCUGGCACUUGCUCUUCCAAAGAAAAAGGCUGCAGCAGGAGGAUAAAAGAGGCAAUCCAGGAGUGUGUGAGAUGGAGCCAGUUACAUGCAUCUCAGCCCAGGGAGGGAGUGAGGAGGGAAUGAAUGCGGCCUAAGUCCCUCACCUGCAAUGUGUAGGAGGUAAAUGAACCUGCUCACCCUCCCUCUCACCCAGCCACAUUCAGGGUCAUUUGCUGUAGCUCAGGUGGCUGCGGCUAGGGUGGGGUUGCCAGGUGGAAUAAUGGUCAUGCACAGCUGCCCCUCCACAGGGGCUGAGCCCAGGGUGGCUUCACUGGAAGAGGGUGUGGGACAAGCUGGGUAUCCUGGCUGACAUCUCUGCUAGCUGUCGGAAAGUUGAGUGAGGGAUGGGGUAGCUGUAUCUGUGUGUGUAUAUGUGAGAGAGUGUGUGUUUGCUGGGUCCUCGUAUGUGUUUGUUUCAGAUGGAUGUGUGUGGGUUUGAGGCCAGGGGAAUGGUGAGUCAGGGCAGCCCUGGGGGCAGGGAGGGGUGGGUGUGAGCAGGGCGAGUGAAGUGGCUGCAGCAGGAACAGGGGAGGCAUGCGGAACAUGGGUGGCAUGAGAGCUGACGCUACGACUGAAUGGAUUUUGAAAGGUCUUUGUCUGCCUCAAUUAAAAGGAUAGAUCCUUUUUUUCUUUAAGGCUGAAUAAAUAAUUUUUUCCCUUUUCUUCUUUGGUUCUUUUCAUAUAACAAUUUGUCAAACUCCGUCAAAAACAAACACAAACAGAAAAACCCAAAAGUCUUCUUGAAUGGGUUCAAGGUGCAGGAGGCACAGCUGAGCUGUGGGGAGCAGCGGUGCAGGAGCGGGGUGCUCGGUGGACUCUGGACCUGCUCUUGGGGCUGCUGGCCCCCUUCUUGCCCGUGUGGCCAGGGCAGCCCUUUGGAAAAGCUGUGCUGUAGCUUCAUCUUUUGUUUUGGCUUUUAUUGGCAUAUUCUUUUGUUCUCUUUAACUGCAUCCAAUCAAAUUGGCACAUCUGAGGUUCGGGAAGAUGGUUUGGAGCCAUUCCAUUACUCUGCCUAUCGAAUUCUGGGAUUUCUGCUUCCUGCCCUGUCCUGUCUUCUGUCCCCAGCUCACCCGGCCCCUACUGAUGUCAUGCUUUAUCAGCUUUCCACUGUGCAUGUAACUCUGCCUGGCAUUUGGUAUUGGGGUGGGUGUGGUGCUUUGAGAGAGGCACAGCAGAACCACUGAGAGAAAGGACGGUGUUUUUCCGUUUAGACCCUCAUUCAUCCCCUCCUUUCUCUAUUUUGCAGGUGCAGAACAUUGAGUUAUGGGGGUCCAGGGUAAACUUGGCUACCUUGGUAAACAUGGCUACAAGCUCCUUUAUAUAACUUUAGGUUUCGGGACACAGCAUGGAAACCACUACUCUAGACGACAGCCAUGUGACAUGCCUGCCCCCACUUUGCCUCCCACCACAAUUGGAAGCUUCCUGAGGCCUUCACCAGAGGCAGAUACUGGCACCAUGCUUCCUAUACAGCCUGCAGAACGGGAAAUCUUUGAACACCUCAGUUUGUCAGUGGCCACAUCUGUACAACGGGCUACUGGAAAUGUGCUCACCUUCAGAAGAUGCUAUUUCAAACCCACGCAUUUGCCCUGAGCCAUCUGCUUUCUAGAUGGCCCAUCUUGUAGCAACUCAUAGAUGACUUUUUCAGAUACUUGGUUGGGGGCGGGGUCAAGACCGUGUUUUGAGAAUAGACUUUUUCCCUGUGGGAAACUGAAAGGCUUGUGGUGUAAUGAUCCCUGGCCUGGGGCCUCCUUUGCACAGUUAAUUAAUUCCAACGACAAAUAUUUACUGUGCAUCGAGCGUAGCAGGCAGUGCCCUGACUGAUUAAGAUGAUCUGAUAUGGUAAUGCAGGGUGGACUUGAGAAAUUAAUGAUUUUAAAAUGUAGUUAGCAACCUAGGGUUCUGGAGGGACAAUGCCAGACUUUCUUCUGGUGUUCAAACCGUCCCAGACUGUGAAGGAACUGGUCCGUGAUGUCUGCCUGGGCUGCUUUGCCUCUGCUCCAUAGCUGAGGGAAGGGGCAGCUCUUGGCUCUCUGCCAGUGUUUGUAAUCCGCACAGCAGGCUCCCAUGUCUUCUGGGUGGGCCUGCAUCUUUUGUUACAUAUUUGUCCCCGAAUCCAGACCACUUCUGAGCUCUCUGGGGAGAAUGUGCCCAAGAGCUGUUCAGUGGGGUGGGCAGGCUGGUGGAAGUCCUCAAGCCUAAUUUGUUCCGCUUCCCUUCAGCCCUUCAGUCCUAAUUCAUUUGUUUGUAUUUGGGGGAAAAAAAAUCUCUCAUUAUUGUCUAUCCUUUAUUUCCUGGAAUUCAACAUGAAAGUUGUCAUUGUUUUAGUUUGUGGCCUCCAAAGAAAUAAACCAUUUGAGCAACAACUGCAACAAUAGCAACAAUUCUUCAUGGCAUGGGCGUCAGACCGGUUGACUUUGGAAUCUAGGUGUCCAUUUUGUUAGAAUUGAAUGUGCACUGGGUUUGGGGUGGGUGUGAGGGAGGCUGUAUUUAUUUUUGAACUUCUUUCGCCCAUAAUGAAAACCAGCUGCCUCUCCAACAAGUGCAUUACUCUUCCCAUAGAAAGCCUCAUGGACAGACUGAAGCUACAGGGGUGGCAAGUCACAUAGAUGGAUGUUUCUAAUUUGAUCUAGUGAGCUUCACCCUCUAUCUCUCGGUCCUCCAGUCCUUGCUCGUGGGUUGAUGGACACCUUGUCUCCUUCCAUACUUGUGGAACCUAGGGGUACUUUUAGUUAGUGGAGGAGAAAUGUGUCUCUUCUCCCCACUGAUUCGCCAGGGUGGACAUGGAGGGGACCUCCCCACCCUGGGAAAGGUGGCCCCAUUCAGCUUGAGUCUGGAGUGAGACCAAACUUUCCUGCCUGCUGCAUACAACUUCAACUCCAAGUCCAAGCUGGGCCCGUUAUUUUGGCUGCUUGGAGAACAUUCCUUCCCAUGUGCUGAUGCAUCAGGGUAUCUCCAGCUUCCUUU
This 4411-nucleotide long non-coding RNA is filed under the name Homo sapiens (human). RNAcentral's name for it is "HSALNT0365810". The record is from RNAcentral. Lineage: Eukaryota; Metazoa; Chordata; Mammalia; Primates; Hominidae.